Molecule: transfer RNA, 73 nt
Filed under: Deltaproteobacteria bacterium
Lineage: Bacteria; Pseudomonadati; Myxococcota; Myxococcia
Also listed under: 1 other name
Description: tRNA-His
Rfam family: tRNA
About the family: Transfer RNA (tRNA) molecules are approximately 80 nucleotides in length.
Source: RNAcentral
GUGAGUGUAGCUCAGUUGGUAGAGCACUGGGUUGUGGCCCCAGUGGCCGAGGGUUCGAGUCCCUUCACUCACC